This 743-nucleotide ribosomal RNA is filed under the name uncultured bacterium. Its description in RNAcentral is "bacterial SSU rRNA". It matches the Rfam family "Bacterial small subunit ribosomal RNA", at positions 1 to 732 of the family's 1533-position model. The record is from RNAcentral.
AAUUCGUCUACCCAGAGUUUGAUCCUGGCUCAGAUUGAACGCUGGCGGCAGGCCUAACACAUGCAAGUCGAGCGGAUGAUGGGAGCUUGCUCCCGGAUUCAGCGGCGGACGGGUGAGUAAUGCCUAGGAAUCUGCCUGGUAGUGGGGGACAACGUUUCGAAAGGAACGCUAAUACCGCAUACGUCCUACGGGAGAAAGCAGGGGACCUUCGGGCCUUGCGCUAUCAGAUGAGCCUAGGUCGGAUUAGCUAGUUGGUGGGGUAAAGGCCUACCAAGGCGACGAUCCGUAACUGGUCUGAGAGGAUGAUCAGUCACACUGGAACUGAGACACGGUCCAGACUCCUACGGGAGGCAGCAGUGGGGAAUAUUGGACAAUGGGCGAAAGCCUGAUCCAGCCAUGCCGCGUGUGUGAAGAAGGUCUUCGGAUUGUAAAGCACUUUAAGUUGGGAGGAAGGGCAGUAAGUUAAUACCUUGCUGUUUUGACGUUACCAACAGAAUAAGCACCGGCUAACUUCGUGCCAGCAGCCGCGGUAAUACGAAGGGUGCAAGCGUUAAUCGGAAUUACUGGGCGUAAAGCGCGCGUAGGUGGUUUGGUAAGAUGGAUGUGAAAUCCCCGGGCUCAACCUNGGAACUGCAUCCAUAACUGCCUGACUAGAGUACGGUAGAGGGGUGGUGGAAUUUCCUGUGUAGCGGUGAAAUGCGUAGAUAUAGGAAGGAACACCAGUGGCGAAGGCGACCACCUGG